Molecule: ribosomal RNA, 484 nt
Filed under: uncultured bacterium
Lineage: Bacteria
Description: partial 16S ribosomal RNA
Rfam family: Bacterial small subunit ribosomal RNA
Source: RNAcentral
AGUGAACGCUGGCGGCAGGCCUAACACAUGCAAGUCGAGCGGCAGCGGGUCCUUCGGGCUGCCGGCGAGCGGCGGACGGGUGAGUAAUGCAUCGGAAUCUGCCCUGUCGUGGGGGAUAACCUAGGGAAACUUAGGCUAAUACCGCAUACGACCCACGGGUGAAAGCGGGGGAUCGCAAGACCUCGCGCGCUAGGAUGAGCCGAUGUCCGAUUAGCUAGUUGGCGGGGUAAAGGCCCACCAAGGCGACGAUCGGUAGCUGGUCUGAGAGGAUGAUCAGCCACACUGGGACUGAGACACGGCCCAGACUCCUACGGGAGGCAGCAGUGGGGAAUAUUGGACAAUGGGCGCAAGCCUGAUCCAGCCAUGCCGCGUGGGUGAAGAAGGCCUUCGGGUUGUAAAGCCCUUUUGUCCGGGAAGAAAUCGUCUGGGCUAAUACCCCGAGCGGAUGACGGUACCGAAAGAAUAAGCAACGGCUAACUUCGUG